AUGAUCAGAGCUGCUUUAUGGGGUACAACGAGAGCAGACAGCCAUUCAGUGGACAAAACAACAUUAGAACUGAUGGGGUUCCCAACAAAAUGGGGUUCCCAAGGGGUUUUAAAUUGGGGUCUGAAGAAAAGCCUCUCCCGGUGUAGUCGGUGGAAACCAAAGACGAGCGAUCGUGGCCUUGGCUCAUUCCCAGACGCAAUGUGCAACAUGCUCCCAUUUACCCUUCUCCAACAGUCUGGACGCCAGCCGGACACAAAGGGCAGAUGUUGUGAUGCGGUGUGUUUCUUUGAUUUGUCACUGACCCCCAUAUGGAGUGCUGAAAGGAGACGGUGUAAUGAACACCAGCAGUACGAUGGAAGAGGAAAAGCUGAUCCUGCCCAGCCAUGGCAGUGGCAUAAAGCGUCAACCAGGUUUCCUGCUGAGUGGUGUCGUUACAUAAUAAAAGAUACAGUGACCCCUGCAAACUUUGCUGUGCCGGGGCCCCCUUUGCGGCUAUGGAGUUAACGUCCCAGCCUUGAAAAGAAAUAGUUCUCAGCUAUUAAAAUACCUCUGAAAAUGGGAUGCUUAUCAAAUAAUACGAACCAGAUUGCCCCGUUUUCCUUCUAGCCUGGCAGGGACUGUAUUUGAGAAGAUAUCUACACCUUUCAUGUCGCUUUUGAAGUCUUUGACAUUAUAUGGGCUUUGAGCGUCUGGGAAUGUUGCGUGGUUAUACAGACUCUGAGAAAGAGCGUUGGGUCGUUUCGGACCAAACCUUGUACGUGGUCCGAAAAGUUCAUUGCGUUCUUCCACGAUCAGCAAGGACAGUCUGCUAUCCCAUUUUUCCCAAUUGCUGUGGGUGUUUGCCAAAGUCACGCUCUGGUGACACACAGCUGUCCUUCCAGGGAUCAUGGAUGAGUCUUUUAUAAAAUGUUGCAGAAUAUCUUUGUAAUUUUCCAGCAUUAAAGGGUCCAGCUGAUUUAACUGCAGGCAAAACUCUGAGACUCUACCAGGCGUUCGAAUCUGCUCUGUCAAAGCCAGUUACCAUCACAGGCAGGUCUGCUACUUCAGACAGAUGUAUUUCCAUACAAGAUCAUUUCGGUUAAAAAUACAGUCCUCAAAAGCAGCCCAGGACAUGAGAGAGAGAGAGAGAGAGCAGCGUUUGGUGGAUGUUUAGGGGAAGGGAGGGCAGGUGGAGGUCAAUGCUUUUAAUAUUCUUCUGUAUGUGGGUGAGGGCAGCCGAGCUCCCAGAAGACUCUCAAAUGACAAUUUCAGGUGGAGAGUGUGUUUUUGUCUUAAAUGUGUGCCUUCUUUUCACCCGGACUGGCUGAUUGCAGCAAAGCCUAUGGUUCACAUCAAAAACUUUUACCCUUGACAAGAUACAAAGACUUUGAUCCAACUCUGACUUAAUGACAAUGGAUGGCAUGAUUGUAACGUAAUGCUCCUGCACAGAGAUGGAGAACCCGAGUGCAGCGGUUUUAUAUAACCAAACAACUGCUGAACACUAGGAUAAUCUAGCAUAACUCAGAAACAUAAACCAAGAUACUAUUACCAUAGACAUUGAAGUUAACCGUUACGGUUUACAUUUAAGACCAGACAAAGAAUAAAGACACUAGAACAAAAGCAUAUGUGGAGGAGAUUUUCUAAAUGUUUGGAUGACUUGCACUAUUACAAAGGCUUGUUUCUGGCAUGGG
RNAcentral lists this long non-coding RNA (1670 nucleotides) under Sinocyclocheilus anshuiensis. RNAcentral describes it as "lncRNA (ENSSANG00000019115.1)". The record is from RNAcentral. Lineage: Eukaryota; Metazoa; Chordata; Actinopteri; Cypriniformes; Cyprinidae.